Aedes aegypti (yellow fever mosquito) is the source of this 857-nucleotide long non-coding RNA. RefSeq lists it as uncharacterized. NCBI's taxonomy places the organism in Eukaryota, Metazoa, Arthropoda, Insecta, Diptera, Culicidae. The transcript has 2 exons. The record is from RefSeq and is a predicted model, not a curated record.
AAGUGCUUCCCGAUCAGCUGAUAUGAGACGUCGUGUGAAUAGGCCUAUAUCCAAAAUGAAUAGAACAAUCGGAAACAUUAAACAAUACAGAAAUUUAUGGUGAUUUGUUUUACGAGUUCAUGAACCAAUAGUUUUAACAAAGUUUUAAGAUUGAGCUGACUGAGCUGCUGUUGGAUGUAUUUCGUUUUCUUCAAUGCAUGUUGCAGAAAUCCCUCGGAUCGGUUUUUAUGCUCUGGCAUCUUCAGUGAAUUAUCCAUCAAGAAGGCAACGGAAGAUCAGCGUUAACCAGCGUUCUUCCUGAUUUAACAUCGCUUCUACAAGCUGACGGAAAACGGAUUCAUCGAGCCGGGAGUAGCGCUCUUCAAGGCAGAUCUUCUUCAGCAUCGCAUCAGUCAGAACAUGACAGCCAGUCACUGUACAUGAAGGUCAGCCAAGAGUCAUGCCGGCGACCGUGGAUGGCGAACUGCCUUCAGUGGUAUCCGGAUCAUCUCCGGAUCUGAUAAAACGCAAAUUUUAUUUGCGCAAAUUAUUUAUUUAUUUGCGUGAACUCAUUAUUUAUUUAGAAUUGAAAUUUGUACAAAUUACCAUUGAUCAGUUCAAAUUAAUUAUUAUUAUACACAUAUUUACAAUUCUGUAUCAUGCAUCAUGCGUGGACCUCGGCAUCGCACUUGAUGAUAUUCAAUAAAAGAAGCGUCCAGUUUAACCUACUACACAACUCUUAUUAUUUUAACUGCAAAUGAUGGUUGAAAAUUUCACUUAUAGCUGCGUUUAUAGUUACCAUGGCCCAACAUUAAAAUUUACUACACGAUUGUAGUAAUUUUUAAUGCAAGAGAUGGUUGAACAAAUAACUUUUAUUC